Triplophysa dalaica is the source of this 903-nucleotide long non-coding RNA. RefSeq lists it as uncharacterized. NCBI's taxonomy places the organism in Eukaryota, Metazoa, Chordata, Actinopteri, Cypriniformes, Nemacheilidae. The record is from RefSeq and is a predicted model, not a curated record. The transcript has 3 exons.
GAUAUUUAGAUCAUGUUUGGUGUCUAUGAGCUACAUUUGUAUGUCUUUAAUGUUGAUGUUUGUUGUGUUUUGGGAACUCCUUUCAUAUUAGUUUUAUCAAACUCUUAGAAGUCUUCUUACACUCUAAAAAAUGCUGGGUUAUUUGUUUAACCCAACAGCUGGGUUGAGCCUGUUGGGUCAUUUUGUUGGGUUAUUUUCUCAGUGUUGGGUCAUUUUUUGAGUAACCCAAACGCUGGGUUAGCAGUCGGGUCCAAUUGAGUGACAGUUGAGAGAGUAAACCCCUCCCACUCCUCGACGCGUUAGACAAACUCUACCUUCGCGGGCAUUUUGAUCCACCUCAUCUCGAAAAGUUGUUAUUCGGAGAAGAAAAGGUUGCAGAAUAACAGCUAAUAUUAAUGGAUCAUUCUAUUCAAGAGAAAGUCAACUGGAACGUGGAUGUUUUCAUAACAGGCUUAAAGAUGAACAAAUUGAUAAAGAAACCCUCCUGCUGAACAUCCACUUCCAAAAGUGCACGCCACACUGUUGUCUACAACUCUCAGGAAAAGAAUCCUCUUUAGUAAGACUGCUCCGUGGAUAUCUCAGGUUAAGCAGUGCUGAAACCGAAAGAACUAACGCUCUUUAAAAUGUUUUGUGAGUUUAGGGUGUCCCUUUUUCACAUCCAUAACGCUUGUUUAUUUAUUUUUUUAUAGAAAACUUGUGCAUAGACUGAUAUUUUAUCAUAUAAAUGCGGUUCUAUCAACAAGGGUUUAGUAAAAUACUUUUCAUAGUGUUUUUAUGUCGCAUCCAUAACGCUGGAAUUGACCUAAAGCAUUUUACUCGUGCCACUUUGUUAACUGUAUAUGAAUUUUUGAAGUGUUAAGUUGUCUAACUAUUUAUAUUUACUUGUGCCACUUUAAUAACCUU